Molecule: unclassified non-coding RNA, 149 nt
Filed under: uncultured fungus
Lineage: Eukaryota; Fungi
Description: sequence contains ITS1
Source: RNAcentral
UUAAUGUUUUGUAUUGAUUCAGACACAAACUAUUCUGCAUAAAUGCGGCGCCGGAGCGCCGAAGCACACUCUACCUCCACAGUUUUGAGGGGUCGAAGGCCACGGAUGGCCAUUCAUUAAUGAUCCCUCCGCAGGUUCACCUACGGAGA